GAUGAACGCUGGCGGCGUGCCUAAUACAUGCAAGUCGAGCGAACAGACGAGGAGCUUGCUCCUCUGACGUUAGCGGCGGACGGGUGAGUAACACGUGGAUCACCUACCUAUAAGACUGGGAUAACUUCGGGAAACCGGAGCUAAUACCGGAUAAUAUAUUGAACCGCAUGGUUCAAUAGUGAAAGACGGUUUUGCUGUCACUUAUAGAUGGAUCCGCGCCGCAUUAGCUAGUUGGUAAGGUAACGGCUUACCAAGGCAACGAUGCGUAGCCGACCUGAGAGGGUGAUCGGCCACACUGGAACUGAGACACGGUCCAGACUCCUACGGGAGGCAGCAGUAGGGAAUCUUCCGCAAUGGGCGAAAGCCUGACGGAGCAACGCCGCGUGAGUGAUGAAGGUCUUCGGAUCGUAAAACUCUGUUAUUAGGGAAGAACAAAUGUGUAAGUAACUAUGCACGUCUUGACGGUACCUAAUGAGAAAGCCACGGCUAACUACGUG
This 497-nucleotide ribosomal RNA is filed under the name uncultured bacterium. RNAcentral's name for it is "partial 16S ribosomal RNA". It matches the Rfam family "Bacterial small subunit ribosomal RNA", at positions 28 to 507 of the family's 1533-position model. The record is from RNAcentral.